GGCUCCAUAGCUCAGUGGUCAGAGCACUGGCCUCGUAAAUCAGGGGUUGCUAGUUCAACUCUCGCUGGAGCUG
Non-coding RNA from Carcharodon carcharias (great white shark), 73 nucleotides. The record is from the annotation of a RefSeq genome assembly. Lineage: Eukaryota; Metazoa; Chordata; Chondrichthyes; Lamniformes; Lamnidae.